RNAcentral lists this unclassified non-coding RNA (89 nucleotides) under Pseudomonas gessardii. Lineage: Bacteria; Pseudomonadati; Pseudomonadota; Gammaproteobacteria; Pseudomonadales; Pseudomonadaceae. The record is from RNAcentral.
UGUGGGAGCUGGCUUGCCUGCGAUGGCGGUGGGUCAGGUUGAUGGGUUUUGCCUGGUCCACCGCCAUCGCAGGCAAGCCAGCUCCCACA